AACGCUAGCGGCAGGCCUAAUACAUGCAAGUCGGACGGGAUUUGGGAGCUUGCUUCCAAUGAGAGUGGCGCACGGGUGCGUAACACGUAUGUAACCUACCCAUAUCAGGGGGAUAGCCUCUCGAAAGAGAGAUUAAGCCCGCAUAACAUCAUUUUAUGGCAUCAUAGAAUGAUCAAAUAUUUAUAGGAUAUGGAUGGGCAUGCGGAGCAUUAGCUAGUUGGUAAGGUAACGGCUUACCAAGGCUACGAUGUUUAGGGGAUCUGAGAGGAUGACCCCCCACACUGGUACUGAGACACGGACCAGACUCCUACGGGAGGCAGCAGUAAGGAAUAUUGGUCAAUGGACGGAAGUCUGAACCAGCCAUGCCGCGUGCAGGAAGACGGCCCUACGGGUUGUAAACUGCUUUUGUACGGGAAUAAACCUUCGUAUGUAUACGAAGCUGAAUGUACCGUAAGAAUAAGGAUCGGCUAACUCCGUGCCAGCAGCCGCGGUAAUACGGAGGAUCCGAGCGUUAUCCGGAUUUAUUGGGUUUAAAGGGUGCGUAGGCGGCCUAUUAAGUCAGGGGUGAAAGACGGUAGCUUAACUAUCGCAGUGCCUUUGAUACUGAUAGGCUUGAAUGUACUUGAGGUAGGCGGAAUGUGACAAGUACGGUGAAAUGCAUAGAUAUGUCACAGAACACCAAUUGCGAAGGCAGCUUACUAAAGUUAUGAUUGACGCUGAGGCACGAAA
Molecule: ribosomal RNA, 729 nt
Filed under: uncultured bacterium
Lineage: Bacteria
Description: bacterial SSU rRNA
Rfam family: Bacterial small subunit ribosomal RNA
Source: RNAcentral